This 47-nucleotide non-coding RNA is filed under the name Schistosoma mansoni. The record is from RNAcentral. Lineage: Eukaryota; Metazoa; Platyhelminthes; Trematoda; Strigeidida; Schistosomatidae.
GCACUGCUGAAGGGGUCCCAUAAUAGGACGAAACGGCCGUCCAGUGC